This 45-nucleotide non-coding RNA is filed under the name Trichobilharzia regenti. The record is from RNAcentral. Lineage: Eukaryota; Metazoa; Platyhelminthes; Trematoda; Strigeidida; Schistosomatidae.
AUCCAGCUGACGAGUAGAGGAUAGGACGAAAUGGCCAUCCUGGAU